Molecule: ribosomal RNA, 428 nt
Filed under: uncultured bacterium
Lineage: Bacteria
Description: partial 16S ribosomal RNA
Rfam family: Bacterial small subunit ribosomal RNA
Source: RNAcentral
GUAGGGAAUAUUGCACAAUGGAGGAAACUCUGAUGCAGCGACGCCGCGUGAGUGAUGAAGGCCUUCGGGUCGUAAAGCUCUGUCGCAGGGGAAUAACACAAUGAAGGUACCCUGUAAGAAAGGAUCGGCUAACUUCGUGCCAGCAGCCGCGGUAAGACGAGGGAUCCUAGCGUUGUUCGGAAUCAUUGGGCGUAAAGCGGAUGAAGGUGGCUAUGUAAGUCAGAUGUGAAAGCCUGGGGCACAACCCCAGAAGUGCAUUUGAUACUGCGUAGCUUGAGUGUCGGAGAGGUUACUAGAAUUGUUGGUGUAGUGGUGAAAUACGUAGAUAUCAACAGGAAUACCGGAGGCGAAGGCGGGUAACUGGCCGAACACUGACACUGAGAUCCGAAAGCGUGGGGAUCAAACAGGAUUAGAUACCCCGGUAGUCC